CUAUUCUAGGGAAGCAUCGAUCCAGCGUUCAAGCUUGGUCGCCCUAUCGAUCGUAAUGAUCGUAAUCUGAACGCUGAGUAGCUAAUGGCGAAACCGGCCUGCGGGUCG
Molecule: non-coding RNA, 108 nt
Filed under: Chloroflexota bacterium
Lineage: Bacteria; Bacillati; Chloroflexota
Description: Chloroflexi bacterium c-di-GMP sequence
Rfam family: c-di-GMP-II-GAG riboswitch aptamer
Source: RNAcentral